AAGAAAAUGUCUAAUGGGAGCUGCGGACAGACAUAGAAAACACAGGAGCUGGAGGCCGUGAAGAAACAGAUCCAUGAUAUUGUGGAGAAGCAGGCCCAGCUGAGCGAGUGGAGAGCUGUGCUGGAAAUAUUCUGGGGUUGAUGCUCAUCAGUCCAGGGUAAGUAUACAGCUAACCCUCCUACCACCUCUACUCUGUGUGGUUCUCAGCAAAGGCCCGGUGUACCCAGAACACGAUCUUCCCAGAUGUCCUUCACCCUAUUUCACAGUGCAAGACAUGAACCAGGCCCUGGGCGACGACCUCUCUCCAUCCGCCGCCUCCGGUCUUCAGGAUCUCCACCAGAACCCGAUUCGCUCCACUUCGCGAGACAGAA
Carassius auratus (goldfish) is the source of this 371-nucleotide long non-coding RNA. RefSeq lists it as uncharacterized. The record is from RefSeq and is a predicted model, not a curated record. The transcript is spliced from 2 exons. Lineage: Eukaryota; Metazoa; Chordata; Actinopteri; Cypriniformes; Cyprinidae.